CUUCCGAACACUCACACUCCUAAUAGAUCAUUUGUCCUUUUCACGGGCCGCGGCAUUCUUGUUAUUUACCCAAAAGUCGGAUCGGAUGUCUAAUUGAGUUAAUCGGUUGCAAAGCGAUAGCCGUUCCGAGUGACCUUCACUUAUACA
Non-coding RNA from Caenorhabditis elegans, 147 nucleotides. The record is from Ensembl. Lineage: Eukaryota; Metazoa; Nematoda; Chromadorea; Rhabditida; Rhabditidae.